CAGCAGCCGCGGUAAUACGUAGGGGGCAAGCGUUGUCCGGAUUUACUGGGCGUAAAGGGCGCGUAGGCGGUCACCGCAAGUCGACUGUGAAAUCUCCGGGCUUAACCCGGAAAGGUCAGCCGAUACUGCGGGGCUAGAGUGCAGAAGGGGCAACUGGAAUUCUCGGUGUAGCGGUGAAAUGCGUAGAUAUCGAGAGGAACACCUGCGGCGAAGGCGGGUUGCUGGGCCGACACUGACGCUGAUGCGCGAAAGCCAGGGGAGCGAACGGGAUUAGAUACCCUGGUAGUCCACGCCGUAAACGAUGGGAACCUGACGUCGGUCUGCUCUGCGGAUCGGUGUCGUAGCUAACGCGCUAAGUUCCCCGCCUGGGGAGUACGGUCGCAAGACUGAAACUCAAAGGAAUUGACGG
Molecule: ribosomal RNA, 409 nt
Filed under: uncultured bacterium
Lineage: Bacteria
Description: bacterial SSU rRNA
Rfam family: Bacterial small subunit ribosomal RNA
Source: RNAcentral